UCGCGAAACCUUUGCAAUACACGAAAGUGUGACAGGGCUAUCCCGAGUGCCAUCCGCUGAGGAAGGCUUUUACCCAGUCUAGAACGCUGGGGGAAUAAGGAGAGGGCAAGUCUGGUGUCAGCCGCCGCGGUAAUACCAGCUCUCCGAGUGGUGUGGAUGUUUAUUGGGCCUAAAGCAUCCGUAGCUGGCUAGGUAAGUCCCUUGUUAAAUCCACCGAAUUAAUCGUUGGAUCGCGGGGGAUACUGCUUGGCUAGGGGACGAGAGAGGCAGACGGUAUUCUCGGGGUAGGGGUGAAAUCCUAUAAUCCCGGGAAGACCACCAGUGGCGAAGGCUGUCUGCUAGAACGCGCCCGACGGUGAGGGAUGAAAGCUGGGGGAGCGAACCGGAUUAGAUACCCGGGUAGUCCCAGCUGUAAACGAUGCAGACUAGGUGUUUGAACGGCCACGUGCCGUUCUAGUGCCGCAGGGAAGCUGUUAAGUCUGCCGCCUGGGGAGUACGAUCGCAAGAUUGAAACUUAAGGAAUUGGCGGGGG
RNAcentral lists this ribosomal RNA (532 nucleotides) under uncultured archaeon. RNAcentral's name for it is "bacterial SSU rRNA". It matches the Rfam family "Archaeal small subunit ribosomal RNA", at positions 339 to 874 of the family's 1478-position model. The record is from RNAcentral.